CAUGUGACAGUAAUCAAUUAAGGCAGCUGUAACUACAAGCAUUCCUGCAGAUUAUAAAGGAUACGUUUUCUUCAUGCUGAAUUGACCCAGUGUGUCAUUACACACCAUACCGUUCCACAAUGAUUACAACCCUAUCUUCAUGCCCUUCAUGCUAAAUGUUAUCCGUGUUGCUGAGAAGUCCCACCCUAGAAGUAACCCCACCCCUCAGUUCACCCCUCAGCCUCCUCCCAGAUAGAGGGCUUUUGUUCUGCAUCUAAUGUUUUCAUUAGGAAACUGGGCGCAACCAAGGGCGCGAGAGUGAGUGCAGGGCAAAGAGUGAGGGAGGAGAGAGAGAGAAGGAAGGAAGGAAGGAAAAAAUUGCAUACAGUCUAGGUUAGCGUUCAGGAGAUUUUUGGGCACUGAAUACACUCUCCUCUCCUCCGCCAUGACCCGCCCUGCCACCAUCUCACUUGGACUUCUGCUCCUCCUUAUUGCCUACACAGCUGCAGGACCUGAGUCUGAGCUCCAACCCAGAGCUGUCCGGUCGAGUGCCUGUCAGGACCACAGUACUCUUCAUGACAGACUGGAUGUAGUGGAGAAGAUUGGUAAAUUCGUCUAGCCAGCUAUCCAAACGUGUGGUAAUCAUGGUCGAAUUAUGGACCCGGGGACCCCCCAUUGAUUUUCGUGUAGAGGACACAGUCCAGAAGCUAGAGGCUGAGCUGGCUGUGCUACUGGAUGCCAUAGAGGCCCCUGAGUGGAGCCCCCUGCUGGAAACUGCUGGAAAACCUGUGGUGGACAUCCUGGACGGCCAGGGACUGGGAGAAGGUGGCGACUCCUGAGAGAGGAGAGCAGAGAUCUCUGUUGGGUGGCUAUGCUACUUCACUCUGCCCUGAUGAGGGUGCACCUGGCAAGGACAGACAAUGAAAGACACUUUAAUGUACAAUCUUUGUUUUUCUGGAGUUGGAAGUGUACACAAACUGUAUAAAACAAGCCCUUUAAAGAGUAAACACAGGCUUAGUAUGUAUUCUGUGCAACAGUUGAUAGAUCCCGACACUAAAGCUUACUUGUCUGCAUAAUACACUCCUCUAAUCCUCAGACACUCUCAUCCUUUCUUCCUUCUUAGACUAAACCUGAAUCCCUACACAACACACAAGGGUAACCGUCUCAGCCUCUCAGGAUGGUUACAGUUCUAAACAAUUGAUACUUUGGUUUUGUCUAGUAAUGCAUUCUGUUCUAUGUGGGAUUGUGUCCCUUUCUCGUCCCAUGCCUCUGUUCCACCCCCUGGUGCCAGUUGAGAGCUACACAUGCAGCACCGAGCCACAAGGUAGGCCGUGCCCUUUACCACAGAUCAGGAAUCAGGUUACACAACCCCUAUCCUAAACCAUUAGGGAGGCUUGAAAUAAUACCCAACCUUGUAUCAGUGGUUAAGGGCAACUAAUAAUCUCAAUGUGGAUGAAUGAUGAAAACCAAUAGAGAGUACUGGAAGGAAUUUAUUUAUCAAAGCAGUUAAAGCAACAUGUUUCAAUACACAGAGCAGUUUGAAUAGGUACAGUACAAGGCUUCCACUGAGACCCAGGCUAGUUGCAAGUGUAUUUAUUUAGUCCCCAUAAAAAUCCUACAGAACAUGUUCAAAAUCGAAACAAAGAGGAGAGUGGUCAUAGAUUUUGUUUUCUCAAAAAUGGACACUACAUUACUAAAUGUUGCUACAAAGAUAAGACAGUACUAUUAUCUGUGAGAGCUUUAAUCCUUAUCCAGUUGAUGGGAAAAGUACUGUGGUGAUUGGUCACUCGUUCUAUCACAACGCUGUUUGAAACACCCAGGUAAAUAUACUUACAACAAUAUUAUCCAAUAAACUAGCAUGUAAACACAAUGGUCCAAACAUAUGAAAGAUUUUUGGGGGUUAGGCAAGCAACAUCCGACCAGGAAUGGAGGUGCAUUUUAAAUGAUAAUCAAGGGAAUGACAUCGGGCUACAAUAUUGUUGAACUUAGAAAUAAAACGACCGAGCAGGGUUUCCAUUAAAAUCGAUGACUAUUCAUUACAAACAAUCAACACAAUCGCAUGGCCAUUUCUAGCACUGGAGACUGAACAUCCAGUCAAGCUUUUUCAUCUAGUCGUCAGUAGUGAGGACAAUGUAAAGACAUGUCGAAGAGCAGUAUUUAAGACUUUUCACAUAGCUACGGGCAGACUCACACAAUGCCCCAAACCCUCGGCCUUAUCCCUUUCCCAUAUACAUAACAAAGCACAGAAAACCUAAACUUACCCACAUUGGAGCAUAGGAGGGCAUAGAUACUGACUUAUUAAAUCAUCCACUUAAAGAAAAGCCUGUGCACUUGGAACAUAUUCUUAAAACAAUCUACGGGAUGCCAAAAGUCACUGCAUACAGUCUAAAAUAUCAUGGCAUCCAUAUAACAAUGGGAAUAAAUUAUUUGUACAGUCGUAGGACUUGAAAUCUUUUUUUUUUUUUUUUAAGCAAACCUAGACAUCACAUAGACAGGCAAGCAGGACAGGGCUACACUGAUUAUAUGAGGCCUCUCCUCUGUCAAUCAUCAGAACACAGGUGAACAUCAAGGUAUUCUACUGCCUGAAGCUUGCAUGUGCACAUACUGUAAGCCACCCACAAACCCUAGCGUUUGGCUCUCCUACAAAAUCUGCUUUAAACUGUAAAUAGAGGUGCAUGCAAAAAUGCAGGGUUCGAGACGCUAUGGGCGUAACUAAUGCGCUUAUUUUCAUAGGAAAUCAGAUUUCCCCCCCAUAUAAUUGAAUAAUAUUUUAUUUCUCCCCAAAAACAUUCCUUUAUAUAUAAUCACAAUAAAUGUUCGUAUACAAAUGAUAGUAUUUUCACAGAAGGAACAGUGGUUAUAUGCGCUACAGAGAGGAAACACAUUCACACACAAAGUUCUUAGAAAUGGCAAUGCAAAUGGUAGAAAAGCUUUGGCAUAUCUGCCUACAAGUUGUGCCUGCACACUUGGAAAUAAAAUGAGUACAACAGUGUAUGAAUGUUUGGCUUCAUACUACUCUUAAUUUAGUAACAUGUACGUUUAGUAAGCAGUCCCACAUAAAACUGUGGAGCGAGGUUAGGCUAUUUACACCUUACUUUGUUAGGCCUUAGGGUUUUAAGGUGGACAAUGCUACAUGUUCCCAGAUGUCCAGGCUGAGAGUAAUGGCACCACCUUAAAAUGUACCACAACUAAUAAUACUGCCCCGGGAUCAUUUUUCAUACAGGAGUGAUCGAGACAAUCAAAUGAAAGACGAUUGUUAAAAUGUCACGGUCAUCUUAGUCUAAUAAGGGAUUAUGUUCAACUACGAGAUUCUUCUGUAGCUAUUCAAUAGAAGCUGAUCAUGUCUGAUCCAUGGACAAAGAAAGACUAGAACAGGCAAAGCCUCCCAUACCACGUCAAUUUAACUAAACCUUUACGGGGUACGCUCAAUAUGAUUCUUCUUCUAUGGUCUGAUCCCCUGGUAGCGACAAUGUUUAUGUUUAACGUAUAAGAACUCAAGCAGUACGAGCAUGUAACCCCCAGUGGAGCCGUGGGAUAAUAGAACAGCGUCUUGGCAACAGUCACAGAGAUCGACCGUGAGGGAAACCUUCCAUUUACACCACAGAUGUACUAAGUCCCUCUAACUGACAGGGCAUUUGAAAAAACGAACAAUGUCUGGAAAAAAGGUUUCGUUGGAGGAGCGUAAAUCACCGUAGUAAAAAUCAAACCAGCAUGCUGAUGCAUAAUAUAGUCACAAUUAACGUGUAAUGAAUGGCUAUUGAUUAACAAUCAACACCACUUCAAAAUGGUUCUACGUUAUCGGAUUGAACUAGUGAUUUAUUUGAAAUUGCAAAACCUCCUUGUCCCGAAUGGCCCAUACUGUAAUGUAUGUAUCUAUUAGAAGACUCACUUACUGUGA
This 3877-nucleotide long non-coding RNA is filed under the name Salmo salar (Atlantic salmon). RNAcentral's name for it is "lncRNA (ENSSSAG00000095614.1, ENSSSAG00000101620.1)". The record is from RNAcentral. Lineage: Eukaryota; Metazoa; Chordata; Actinopteri; Salmoniformes; Salmonidae.